This 424-nucleotide long non-coding RNA is filed under the name Homo sapiens (human). Its description in RNAcentral is "HSALNT0304551". Lineage: Eukaryota; Metazoa; Chordata; Mammalia; Primates; Hominidae. The record is from RNAcentral.
GGAAUUUUGCUGUUAAGAUUUUUCCAGAGAUGUUCAAGUUCAAAGACGUUACACAAUUAGAGGCAUCACAUCAAUAGAGAGGAGCUGACCCUGGACCUCUCUCAGCAUCAAAGAAGACACUCUAAAAAUCUAUGAGAUGACAUCAUGUGUUCUGGCAAAAUCGUGGUUAAAUACAGAUAGGAGAAUGCAACCUGCAGGAUCUUGCAACAUUAGACUUUCCUCCGCACACUGCAAUCGUGGCAGGGGCACCCUCUGUGGGAGGCCUGGUCUCAAGCUUGUGCUGCACCUGCUGGAAGGCUCCAUUGGAACACCCGUCUGCUGCUGCACCCCCUCCCUCACUGCUUCCCACUGGGAAACUGGGCUGAUAUUAAUUCAGAAAGAGAGUGGAUUACUUCAGAGGUUUCACUAGACUUUCCUCACUUUA